GAUGAACGCUGGCGGCGUGCCUAAUACAUGCAAGUCGAGCGAACAGAUGAGGAGCUUGCUCCUCUGACGUUAGCGGCGGACGGGUGAGUAACACGUGGAUAACCUACCUAUAAGACUGGGAUAACUUCGGGAAACCGGAGCUAAUACCGGAUAAUAUAUUGAACCGCAUGGUUCAAUAGUGAAAGACGGUUUUGCUGUCACUUAUAGAUGGAUCCGCGCCGCAUUAGCUAGUUGGUAAGGUAACGGCUUACCAAGGCAACGAUGCGUAGCCGACCUGAGAGGGUGAUCGGCCACACUGGAACUGAGACACGGUCCAGACUCCUACGGGAGGCAGCAGUAGGGAAUCUUCCGCAAUGGGCGAAAGCCUGAAGGAGCAACGCCGCGUGAGUGAUGAAGGUCUUCGGAUCGUAAAACUCUGUUAUUGGGGAAGAACAAAUGUGUAAGUAACUAUGCACGUCUUGACGGUACCUAAUCAGAAAGCCACGGCUAACUACGUG
RNAcentral lists this ribosomal RNA (497 nucleotides) under uncultured bacterium. RNAcentral's name for it is "partial 16S ribosomal RNA". It matches the Rfam family "Bacterial small subunit ribosomal RNA", at positions 28 to 507 of the family's 1533-position model. The record is from RNAcentral.